RNAcentral lists this long non-coding RNA (457 nucleotides) under Numida meleagris (helmeted guineafowl). RNAcentral's name for it is "lncRNA (ENSNMEG00000002597.1)". Lineage: Eukaryota; Metazoa; Chordata; Aves; Galliformes; Numididae. The record is from RNAcentral.
UGCCCUAUGGAAUCAGACUGGGUGCCCUAUGGGAUCACACUGGGUGCCCUAUGGGUUAUACUGGGUGCCCUAUGGGGUCACACUGGGUGCACUGUGGGAUCACACUGGGUGCCCUAUGGGGUCAUACUAGUUGCCAUAUGGGUUAAACUGGGUGCUAUUUGGGGUUAUACUGGUGCUAUUUGGGAUUAUACUGGGUGCCCUAUGGGAUCACACUGGGUGCACUGUGGGAUCAUACUGGGUGCACUGUGGGUUGUACAGGGUGCCCUAUGGGUUAUACUGGGUGCACUGUGGGAUCACACUGGGUGCCCCAUGGGGUCACACUGGAUGCCCUAUGGAAUCAGACUGGGUGCCCUAUGGGAUCACACUGGGUGCCCUAUGGGUUAUACUGAGUGUGCUAUGGGUUAUACUGGGCGCCCUAUGAGUUAUACUGGGUGCCCUAUGGGGUCACACUGGGUGC